CCUACGGGAGGCAGCAGUAGGGAAUCUUCCACAAUGGGCGAAAGCCUGAUGGAGCAACGCCGCGUGGGUGAAGAAGGUUUUCGGAUCGUAAAACCCUGUUGUUAGAGAAGAAAGUGCGUGAGAGUAACUGUUAACGUCUCGACGGUAUCUAACCAGAAACCCACGGCUAACUACGUGCACGCAGCCUAGGUAAUACGUAGGUGGCAAGCGUUAUCCGGAUUUGUUGGGCGUAAAGGGUACGAAGGCGGGCUUUUAAGUCUGAUGUGAAAGCCUUCGGCUUAACCGGAGUAGUGCAUUUGAAACUGGGAGACUUGAGUGCAGAAGAGGAGAGUGGAACUCCAUGUGUAGCGGUGAAAUGCGUAGAUA
RNAcentral lists this ribosomal RNA (366 nucleotides) under uncultured bacterium. RNAcentral describes it as "partial 16S ribosomal RNA". It matches the Rfam family "Bacterial small subunit ribosomal RNA", at positions 338 to 696 of the family's 1533-position model. The record is from RNAcentral.